GCAAGACGUCCCCGAGCCACUUCGGACGUACUGGGAGUACCGGGACGAGAUACACGAACAGGACGGCCUCGUAUUCCGGAGUAACAAGUCCCCUGUGCAGAGGCUGAUGGGACGCCAGACUAGAACUCUGCUACCGGUGCCUACCAGCCAUUUGGAACCGAGGACCAUCCCACCGAAAGUGGUGCAGGGCCGCCUUCAAGAAAUACGGCAACGACAGAGGACCUACUACAACCGCGGUAGCAGACCACUACCGCCUGU
This 258-nucleotide long non-coding RNA is filed under the name Rhipicephalus microplus (southern cattle tick). RNAcentral's name for it is "uncharacterized LOC119162344". The record is from RNAcentral. Lineage: Eukaryota; Metazoa; Arthropoda; Arachnida; Ixodida; Ixodidae.